This 301-nucleotide ribosomal RNA is filed under the name uncultured bacterium. Its description in RNAcentral is "partial 16S ribosomal RNA". It matches the Rfam family "Bacterial small subunit ribosomal RNA", at positions 509 to 807 of the family's 1533-position model. The record is from RNAcentral.
CAGUAGCCGCGGGAAAACCGAGGGUGCAAGCGUUAAUCGGAAUUACUGGGCGUAAAGCGCGCGUAGGUGGUUUGUUAAGUUGGAUGUGAAAUCCCCGGGCUCAACCUGGGAACUGCAUCCAAAACUGGCAAGCUAGAGUAUGGUAGAGGGUGGUGGAAUUUCCUGUGUAGCGGUGAAAUGCGUAGAUAUAGGAAGGAACACCAGUGGCGAAGGCGACCACCUGGACUGAUACUGACACUGAGGUGCGAAAGCGUGGGGAGCAAACAGGAUUAGAUACCCCCGUAGUCCCUGUCUCUUAUAC